GGUUGCAAAGCUGAAACUUAAAGGAAUUGACGGAAGGGCACCACCAGGAGUGGAGCCUGCGGCUUAAUUUGACUCAACACGGGAAAACUCACCAGGCCCGGACACCGGAAGGAUUGACAGAUUGAAAGCUCUUUCUUGAUUCGGUGGGUGGUGGUGCAUGGCCGUUCUUAGUUGGUGGAGCGAUUUGUCUGGUUAAUUCCGAUAACGAACGAGACUCUGGCCUACUAAAUAGACACGUAUUUCAUUUAUGGAAUCGUGCAGCUUCUUAGAGGGACGGGCGGCUUAUAGCCGCACGAGAAUGAGCAAUAACAGGUCUGUGAUGCCCUUAGAUGUUUUGGGCUGCACGCGCGCUACACUGAAGGAAUCUGCGUGUGUACCCUGUCCGAAAGGACUGGGAAACCCGUUGAACCUCCUUCGUGAUGGGGAUUAGGGAUUGCAAUUAUUCCCUAUGAACGAGGAAUUCCCAGUAGGCGCGAGUCAUAAGCUAGCGUCGAUUAAGCCCCUGCCCUUUGUACACACCGCCCGUCGCUACUACCGAUCGAGUGUUUUAGCGAGGCCUUUGGACUGGUAUUCGUGAUGGCUUUCGGGUCGUUGCGGAGUGCCGGGAAAAUGUCCAAACUGAACA
Molecule: ribosomal RNA, 625 nt
Filed under: Sphaeridia pumilis
Lineage: Eukaryota; Metazoa; Arthropoda; Collembola; Symphypleona; Sminthurididae
Description: SSU rRNA
Rfam family: Eukaryotic small subunit ribosomal RNA
Source: RNAcentral